GCGAGUCGUGCAAGCUGGUCGCGCGUCACUCGUUAACGGGACGCAGAGGAAGACGGCGAGAGAGGCGCGUAUUGUGCGUUUGAAACGCGCAGGAAACGAAAGAAAGGCAGGAAACGCGAAGGUGCUCGGGAGCGGAUUUUCUAUUUCGGUCAAGGUUCGUCAGGCGGCUUAGAAGCGACGACACGAGAAGAGACGUUCGACGAUGGUCUGCUGCCCCGUCGCCAUGACUGUUUACGUUGAUUCAGUGCUCGGGCUUAAUUUGCCCUUUGAAUAUCGUAGUGCAUCAACCGGACAGCAGAGUGGGUUUGAGAAUCCAUGAGAAAUUCGACACCUUUCGUAUCUUUACUUUAUACGUAGUUCCAGAGUCGUUAUAUUUGUCCACACUCUCCCCCCCUCCCCUCCCUCCUUCCACCCCUCUCCCUUCCACCCCUCUCCCCACUCCGCCAGCCCCUCCCACGCCGCUCUUUAAAUAAAGCCUGACUUACCGAAGACCGCUCAGAAUCCAACGAGUAUCGCCCAAUACCAAUUCCAUGCACCGAAAAACUUUAUUAGAAUAUUACAUUAGAAUACUUUGAAUCGUCCGUUGAUUGUCAAGGAGGACUUUGAAAAGCGCGCGAGACCUAACGAACUUUAGACAGCUGCUAGCACGACGUCUCCCCGCCCAUGGGGUGAAGUUUACUUGCGUUGAUAUUCCUUUAUAGCAAAAAACCAUGAAGAAUCCAAAAUAUCCACGACUUUUUACAUCGGGACUGUCUUCUGUCCCAGAAGACCGUGGAACACGUGUGCACAGUCCGAGAAGAUACGUGCGAGGUUCUUGUCAGAAUGUAUUUUAAUGAAGACCUUUCUUUUUUCUUUUUUUUUUUUUUUCCUCAAAGAAAAAAUAAGAAAACAGAAAAAGAAUACACUCGUCGAAAGAUCAGUCACGCAUUGACUGAUGAGACGAAAAAAUAUCGGUGCCCUAUGUUAAUGAGCUUGGGAGGAGUCGUUUUAAGAAAAAAAAAAAAAGAAGCAAAGUCGACAUAACCACAAAAUCGGUGCACCGAUCGAAUCCUACUGAUUACGUGUAUGGGCUGACGUAACAAUAUGGCUGACGUCUAGGACAACGUUCACGAUGAAAUUGGUUACGCCAAGAGGCGAUUCCAGAAAUAGACUAGACUUUAUACGUGCAUCGUGAUUAGUAUGCCAGUGUCCUCGGCUACUCGUUUGUCAAAAUUAGCUGCGUCACGUACCAGCAGUAGCAAUUGUCAAACAGUAAAUAACGUCGACGCAAUAUAAGUGUGCACGUAUUAUCUGCGUUAUAUGUAUAUGUCAUGUAUAUGGUAUAGCGUGUACGGUGAAGGAGUAUCAAUGAAAUGUAAUUUCUGUCAAUUUGAUUUUCGUGUACACAGGAUGGCGACAUUCUCAAAGGACGAGAGAAGAGAAGAGAAGAUACCGAGAGGGAUUUAAUGGAAAAUAAUAAGCCUAGAGCAAUCGGUCAGUUUCCCUUUGGCUAUCGAGAGGCGAAGUUGAUCGAUGACGCGGAGGCACGACGAACGAUUAAUCUUGCGAUCGAGUUAAAGAAUAUCGGCAAUGAUUUAUUCGUCCGAUCAUUAAAUCUGUUAUCGUGCAUCGAAAUAUUGCACGAGCGAAUCGUGAUUAUGUAGUCAAGUAAAAGAUAGCGAUGACAGAAAAUAGGUUACGAGGGGCGAUUUUUUUGAAUUUCUUUUAACGCAUAGACAUUCGAUAAUCUCGAUAUGUCAAUUAAACUUAUACCGAAGAAAUAUCGAGAGGAAUUCGAGCAGUGUAAGGCUAAAGGUUUACUAAAUUUGGAAAGCUUGCGCGCUGAUACCCUGGAUGUUAAUAAAGCCUCUCAUUCUCUUCUGCCUUAACCCAGGAAAAGCUUCCGCGUCUCUGAAGAUGGUUAAAGAUACGUUCUCAAAAUUAGACGUUCGUCAGUAUCACGCGCGACGGUGUUUUCGGUGGACUCAAUUGGCACGAAUUCGAACGUGGACAUUUUUCCAAAAUUCAUAACCAAAAAAAUUUCACCAAUUCGCAUAAAACAGUCCACGAUUAAAAAAUCGAAAGAUUGAAAUUAUGUGAUAAAAACAAUUUUUUUUAUUUGAAAUCCCAAUAAAAAGAUGAAAAUAAAAAAAGUCACUUAAAUCUCAAAACCAACAUAUACGCCAAUACAGUGUAUACCACUGUAAUGACAGGUGGAGUAAUUAGAGCGUUAAAACAUCAAGAAUAGUUCCUCGUGUUCCUCUGCUUAGUCACUCGACAGACAUAAUAUAGGAUACAAAAAAAGUUUUCUGAACCCAUAUAAAAAAAAAUGUCUAAAUACGAUAAAGAAAAUUCCAAAAAAAAAAAAAAAAACCUGGCAAAUACAUUUCAAUCGAUAAUACCGCUCGUACCCGAUAUCCGAUAAGAUAUCGUCGACGAUCCAAGUUCGAUCGAAAAUUUCGGAUCGUCCGUCCGAAGCCAUUUCGCGCGUAAGCGAUAAACGUCAGAGCCCCGAAGAUAUUAUCGAAGCGUGGCAAAUUCUCAAUCAAUAGAGAUCAAACGCCGUAACGAAGUACGGGCGGUUUACGUCGCCAUUUUAAAUGUCUCGUAUAAAAAAGUGACGGCACAAUUCGUAAAUGCAUUGAAUUUCCGAGCACGAAAUACCAGAGGUCAUAAACGAGUGUCUAGCCUAGCUAACCAUAUAUGUAUAUAUGUGUACGAAAGCCCGUCGCGACGCCAUGCAUCCUUCCUUUCAAAGUGGAUCGUGAAUGACGUCUUCUAUUUCGAAAAAAUACCAUAGCGAAGGUGCUCGAGCUCUUCCGGUUGUUUCGAGCUUAUACUGGCAUCGCCGACGCGCCAACCUAACCUGACUUAUCCUACCUAUCUAUAGAGUUGCAUAAACGUUUCUCUUGCGCGACCAUGUGACGAGCAUAAAACGCAACUGCCGAGGCCCGCGUUCGGUGUCAGUUCGAACGACCCCAUUGCAUUCUCAUGCUAAUACGCGCGCAUGCUGCAGUGGCAGCGACGAAAUGACUUAUUUCGUAAGAAUCCAUAAGCCGACGUUAGCGCCGGCGCUCGGUGAAGGUACGAAGCUCUUGUGAUUAGCGAUGUAUCUGGAGCGACGGUAAAUAAGAGCAGUCGUGGAGCUAUAAGAGCGAGAGAGAAAAAAAAACAAGCAUAUACAGUAGCCACGGGUAUACUGAUAUAAGCACAGGAUUUGGAAAUACUUGUGUCUCCGUCGAUGGGUCAGCUCGCUUCCAAACCCGAGUAAUAACAAAUCCGUAAAGUAGCCGUACAGUCGAAGGUGAGUAAAUUGAAUGGACUGUCCCGCCGAGCACUUCUUCAUAGUCAAUUAUCGGAGCAAGCUGAUAUGACGGCUGCGUUGCGUAAGAGAGCGCAGAAGAUACUUAACGGUGAAGCGUAACGAGUCGAGCCUUGGAAUUUGUCUGAAGUUCGUUUAUGUAAGAAAUAUAUCUCGCAAGACUGUACCUUUGUACGGGUUGGUGAUUAGUUGCGUGAUAUUAACGAGGACGAGAAGCGUCUCCAGGACGACGCAACAGAGUGCGAGGACCAAAGGGUGAAGAUGAUAAAAAAAAAGGUACACAUAAAAAAAAAAAAAGAAAUCGAGCAAAGGAUGCUGCUUGGGAUAUGUAAAGGGGGUGAGGAACAGAAAAAAGGAUAAGAGGGUAAAAAGAAGGUGGAGGGAGGGAGGAGGAGGAGGGGAGAGAAAAAAGCUAAGGAUACUGCCAGCAGUGGAAAUAAAAGGUAGAGUAGGAGCGAAGAUCGGAAGUUCAAGGUGGACACCGUGUCGAGAAAGUGAAGAGAAGGUCGAAUGCGGAAGAAAAGAAGAUUAGGAAAAGACAAAAAAAAAAAAGAGGUAUGUUUUACACGCUCGAAUAAACUUCCAUUCGGCGAUCACGCUCUGGAACGAAAUCACUUAAAUUCCAGAAUGGCUGGGUGUGUGUGGAAUUUACUUUUUUUUCUCUCUUUUUUCUUUUAUCUAUAUCAAUUUAUAUUAUUAAUUAUUACACCGCGCAGUUUAUAACCAUAAUCAUAAAUAUGUGUAAUUAUAUGCUCGAGGUUGUAAUAUCCUAUUUAACGUAGAUAAACUCGUAGCUACCCAAUUCGUGCGUAAGGUAGUGUCAGAUUUGAGAGAAAAAAUUGUUGCUCAAUGUGGAGAUAAGAUUUUUUUUUAGUGAAAAAAAAGGUGUUUUUUUUUUUUUUAAUUUUUCUUAAGCAAGACCAAAGACAAGCUUCGCUAUUCGUAUUAUGAUACCCCAUUCGAAAAAUUGGCCAUUGAUCGGUAAUUCCGAAUUCGUCAGACUCAACCGGCCCUCGCAGCUGGUGCGCACUUAAUGAUCACGUCCAGGUUGAACCGUAACGUUUAUUGCUCGUAUACGAUAUAUAAAUAAAUGAUAGUGUCUCCGACAUUGCGCAUGACGAAACGAGAAUAACCGCUAGCCAGUCUGCACUUACUCGCUUAGGAUUAGUGGCAUAUUAGUGGCACCACCUGCUUCCACUAUUUCAUCAAUUCGCCCCCGCGAGAUUCGCUAAUGCACAUUUGCGAAGCACCUAGAGAGGACGUAACGACCUCUUGCUACUUUGUUGCGAGAAGCUUCGCGAUUGAGACUUAUCGUACUCCCAUACCUACUUUGAGUUUCGCACUGGCGGCAAUUUCAAGUUUAUAUAUUCACCUCUAUGUAUGUAUAUGUAGUUCACACAGAAAGACAUUGUGGGUAUAAGAUGAUAAAUUUUUUCUUUUAAAUAUUUAUAUAUUUUUUUCAUACUAAUUCUCAUUCAUAUCGUCUCUUUGAAUUACGUCAAGUUAAUCGGUUACGUACGUCUGACUGUCUGUCUUGUUAAUGUUAAUGAUACGCGCUCGAUAUGCAAUUUUUCGCAAGGAUACGAUAACGCGCUGAUACCCAAAUAGGCUGUUUUGCAAGAUGAACACUUUGAUCCCCUGUUUUGACUUAUAUCAUAUGUACGUAACAGUGUAGUUAACGUUGAUUAAAGAGAGAGAGAGAGAGAGAGAGAGAGAGAGAGAGAGAGAGAGAGAGAGAGAGAGAGAGAAAGAAAUAUGGUGGAUAGCAACCAAAAGAAAAAAUUUUAUUACUUAUUGCGCAAACCACUGAUAACGUAGAGCAAAGAGCCAUCGGUUCUUUUUUGAUAAAUCAUGACUUCGUUAAGAAAUAAUCAUUGACUUCCUGGUGAGAAACAGGGUAUUUUAUAUCGAUUUUACGAUCCCUUAUAAGGUCACGUGGAACGUUGACACUGUUAAACUAAUUUUACAAAAUAAUCGUUAUUAUGUGAUAUCUUUGUUUUAGGAAAUUUAUUGAAAGUCGAUAGUAACGCUAGAGAAAAGUGGAAGAAUAAUUACCCGACACCCGGUAUACAGAAGUAUCGUAAAAAUAAUUUUGAGGAUUACAUUGUUAUUAGAAAAGAGACAAAGUAAAAUAGAAAAAAUUUAGAAUAUUUUUGUAAAAUAUAUAUUUUAAUAAUUAAGUUACCUCCUAUGCUUUGUCAAAUUUUUAUAAUUUUUUUUUUGGUCACGCAACCAAUUUCCGGUUUAAGCAAUAAUUGAACGAACGACGCAUUGGAUUAACGCUAGUUGGAUCUCUGCAUGUAUAUAUAAAAGGGACGUGAACAAAUGGCCAGUGGUGGGAAAUAAAUAGGAGCCAUGAGCGUCGUCCUGAUUCCUAUCGUAUGGCUAUUUAACAUAAUUAAAUACUCUUUAGUCCAGCCAUAAUUGACUAACUCCGAUCUAACAUUCUCUACCUGGAAUUUACAUCCAUUCCUGAUUUGGGUGGCAUCCACUGUCAAUAGGUUUUCUUGAUCGCAAUUAAAUAUUCGGCACAGAAUCGUAUAUCGUCCAUACGAGUCCCGGCUACGAAACAAACGGACCACCCACGAGGGUAAAUUCGCAACGUUGUCGCUGUCCUCGUUAUAGCAAUGUGACGCGCGAGAACGGCAAUCUCCGUGGAAGCCUUUUUUUUCCCCCGUAAGCCUUUGCUAAGCGAAAUUGAUAAAGAGAUCGUUGGAACGUGAGAUUUCUCAGGAGCACGUGCUUGGACAGGUGUAAUAUUCACUUCCGGUGGAAGUGAGGGCUAUCUGGAUACGAGAAAGAAGGUAUAACGCUUUGGCGACUCUUUCAGCAUUCCACCAAUUUUUGAUAACACGAAGAACGUUAUGAUACCAUAGAAAAUGUAUAUAUGUUAAAUAAAGUAUUCUUAGUACAAGAAAUACGUGUACAACUUUUAUUCCAAUUGUUGUGUAUAUUCCCAUAUCCACUUUCAAUGUUUUUCCUAACCUCACUUUGGCAACGUGCCUUAUCCGCUGUCGGCUAACAAAAUUGCAAAUACGCAGCAAUAGGUGAUAGCAACGCUUCUAUUUCCAUAUUGUCAGCUUUCAAUAAUAGACGGCGUAAGUUAAGUACAGUCAAACCUCGGAUGUUUGCAGGAAUAUUUUAAAAAAUUCAUAUUUACGAUUCUUAAAAUACAUCCGCUUAUAAAGUAAGAGUAAAAUUUUGUCACGGCAUACGAAGAAUUCAUUGUAUUAAAACGUCGAAAUAGAAAAUAUAAUUAAUAUUGAAUAAAAGUCUCACAGUAUUUAGAGAAAUUUAUAACAAGUCAGACAUUAAUAAAAUUGGAAAAUAAAAGACUGAAAAUUGUAUUUCUUCGCUUCCCUUGCCCGUCUCUCUUCGUCGUAUUGAUGUCGGCGAAUGACAAUAAUAUAUCGAAUUUUUAGUAAAAUUAUACUCAGACCACUGAGAUAAGAGUUAACUAGCUUGACUGCAUUAAAAAGUGUUUACUACUUUAAGAAAAAUAUCAAAUACGCGACUAAAAUAUAACAACGAGCAAAACGUCAGAUUCGAAUGCGAAAUGACAGUUGGCGAUCAUGGCGUCCGUGGCUGUGGCUCUGUGAACCCCGUGACAUGGUGGCAUAAGCCCGCGCUACGAUAGCAGCCACCACGUGCCAGCCGUGGCGGUGGCGUCCCACGCCAAAAUGGAUUCAGACAAAAAGACGCAAGCAUCUUUUAAUUUCUAAUCUAACCAUAAGAAUUAACAGAGUCCUCUGUAUAAAUAUGAAUA
Long non-coding RNA from Cephus cinctus (wheat stem sawfly), 7067 nucleotides. RefSeq lists it as uncharacterized. The record is from RefSeq and is a predicted model, not a curated record. The transcript has 3 exons. Lineage: Eukaryota; Metazoa; Arthropoda; Insecta; Hymenoptera; Cephidae.